RNAcentral lists this RNase P RNA (368 nucleotides) under Microbacterium testaceum. RNAcentral's name for it is "RNase P RNA component class A". It matches the Rfam family "Bacterial RNase P class A". Rfam says of the family: Ribonuclease P (RNase P) is a ubiquitous endoribonuclease, found in archaea, bacteria and eukarya as well as chloroplasts and mitochondria. Its best characterised activity is the generation of mature 5'-ends of tRNAs by cleaving the 5'-leader elements of precursor-tRNAs. Cellular RNase Ps are ribonucleoproteins. Lineage: Bacteria; Bacillati; Actinomycetota; Actinomycetes; Micrococcales; Microbacteriaceae. The record is from RNAcentral.
UGGGUCGGCUGGACGGUCGCGUCACGGGUUCUCCCGUGCCGAGGAACGUCCGGGCUCCACAGGGCAGGACGGUGGGUAACGCCCACCCGGAGCAAUCCGCGAGACAGUGCCACAGAGAGCAGACCGCCUCGACCCCUCGGGGUGCGGGGUAAGGGUGAAAGGGUGGUGUAAGAGACCACCGGGGUCAUGGUGACACGACCCGCGAGGUAAACCUCGUCCGGAGCAAGGCCAGACAGGGGAUGACGACGCGGCUCGCCGAGUCCCCGGGUAGGCCGCUGGAGCGGCACGGCAACGUGUCGCCGAGAGAGAUGACCGUCCACGGGGUUUCGACCCCCGGACAGAACCCGGCGUACAGGCCGGCCCAUUCG